CCUACGGGCGGCUGCAGUGGGGAAUAUUGGACAAUGGGGGGAACCCUGAUCCAGCCAUGCCGCGUGUGUGAAGAAGGCCCUCGGGUUGUAAAGCACUUUCAGUGAGGAAGAACGCCUGGUGGUUAAUACCCAUCAGGAAAGACAUCACUCACAGAAGAAGCACCGGCUAACUCCGUGCCAGCAGCCGCGGUAAUACGGAGGGUGCGAGCGUUAAUCGGAAUUACUGGGCGUAAAGCGCGCGUAGGUGGCUUGAUAAGCCGGUUGUGAAAGCCCCGGGCUUAACCUGGGAACGGCAUCCGGAACUGUCAAGCUAGAGUGCAGGAGAGGAAGGUAGAAUUCCCGGUGUAGCGGUGAAAUGCGUAGAGAUCGGGAGGAAUACCAGUGGCGAAGGCGGCCUUCUGGACUGACACUGACACUGAGGUGCGAAAGCGUGGGUAGCAAACAGGAUUAGAUACCCCUGUAGUC
This 465-nucleotide ribosomal RNA is filed under the name Vreelandella stevensii. Its description in RNAcentral is "partial 16S ribosomal RNA". It matches the Rfam family "Bacterial small subunit ribosomal RNA", at positions 338 to 795 of the family's 1533-position model. Lineage: Bacteria; Pseudomonadati; Pseudomonadota; Gammaproteobacteria; Oceanospirillales; Halomonadaceae. The record is from RNAcentral.